Molecule: ribosomal RNA, 475 nt
Filed under: Streptococcus intermedius
Lineage: Bacteria; Bacillati; Bacillota; Bacilli; Lactobacillales; Streptococcaceae
Description: bacterial SSU rRNA
Rfam family: Bacterial small subunit ribosomal RNA
Source: RNAcentral
GACGAACGCUGGCGGCGUGCCUAAUACAUGCAAGUAGAACGCACAGGAUGCACCGUAGUUUACUACACCGUAUUCUGUGAGUUGCGAACGGGUGAGUAACGCGUAGGUAACCUGCCUGGUAGCGGGGGAUAACUAUUGGAAACGAUAGCUAAUACCGCAUAAGAACAUUUACUGCAUGGUAGAUGUUUAAAAGGUGCAAAUGCAUCACUACCAGAUGGACCUGCGUUGUAUUAGCUAGUAGGUGAGGUAACGGCUCACCUAGGCGACGAUACAUAGCCGACCUGAGAGGGUGAUCGGCCACACUGGGACUGAGACACGGCCCAGACUCCUACGGGAGGCAGCAGUAGGGAAUCUUCGGCAAUGGGGGGAACCCUGACCGAGCAACGCCGCGUGAGUGAAGAAGGUUUUCGGAUCGUAAAGCUCUGUUGUUAAGGAAGAACGAGUGUGAGAGAUGAAAAGUUCAUACUGUGACCGG